RNAcentral lists this ribosomal RNA (1444 nucleotides) under uncultured bacterium. RNAcentral describes it as "bacterial SSU rRNA". It matches the Rfam family "Bacterial small subunit ribosomal RNA". The record is from RNAcentral.
GAUUAACGCUGGCGGCGUGCCUAACACAUGCAAGUCGAACGAAGUAAAAUAAGAUUUCGGUUUUAUUUUGCUUAGUGGCGGACGGGUGAGGAAUAUGUGAGUAACCUGCCCCUAAGUUUGGGAUAACAUUUCGAAAGGAAUGCUAAUACCGGAUAUUAUCUUUUGGUCGCAUGAUCGAAAGAUGAAAGUUUUUUCGCUUAGGGAGGGGCUCAUAUCUGAUUAGCUAGUUGGUAGGGUAAUGGCCUACCAAGGCGACGAUCAGUAGCUGGUCUGAGAGGAUGAACAGCCACACUGGAACUGAGACACGGUCCAGACUCCUACGGGAGGCAGCGAGUGGGGAAUAUUGCGCGAAUGGGCGAAAGCCUGACGCAGCGACGCCGCGUGAGUGAAGAAGUUUUUCGGAAUGUAAAGCUCUGUCAAGAGGGAAAAUUGUGAUGGUACCUCUAAAGGAAGCCCCGGCUAAUUACGUGCCAGCAGCCGCGGUAAUACGUAAGGGGCGAGCGUUAUCCGGAUUUAUUGGGCAUAAAGGGCGCGUAGGUGGCAUUUUAAGUCAGAUGUGAAAGGCCUUGGCUUACCCAAGGUUUGCAUUUGAAACUGAUUUGCUAGAGGUCAGUAGAGGAAAGCGGAACUCACAGUGUAGCGGUGAAAUGCGUAGAUAUUGUGAGGAACACCAGUUGCGAAGGCGGCUUUCUGGCCUGAUCCUGACACUGAGGCGCGAAAGCGUGGGGAGCGAACAGGAUUAGAUACCCUGGUAGUCCACGCCGUAAACGGUGCACACUAAGUGUUGGAGGUAUCGACCCCUUCAGUGCUAAAGAUAAUUCGUUAAGUGUGCCGCCUGGGAAGUACGACCGCAAGGUUAAAACUCAAAGAAAUUGACGGGGGCCCGCACAAGCGGUGGAGCAUGUGGUUUAAUUCGACGAUACGCGAAAAACCUUACCAGGGCUUGACAUCCUCGAAAGUUCCUAGAGAUAGGAAUGUGCCUUCGGGAGCCGAGAGACAGGUGGUGCAUGGCUGUCGUCAGCUCGUGUCGUGAGAUGUUGGGUUAAGUCCCGCAACGAGCGCAACCCCUAUCUUGUGUUGCCAGCAUUUCGGAUGGGAACUCACAAGAGACUGCCUGUGGAAAGCAGGAGGAAGGUGGGGAUGACGUCAAGUCAUCAUGCCCCUUACGCCCUGGGCUACACACAUGCUACAAUGGCCGGUACAAAGGGUCGCGAAGCCGCGAGGUGAAGCCAAUCUCAAAAAACCGGUCUCAGUUCAGAUUGUAGUCUGCAACUCGACUACAUGAAGUUGGAAUCGCUAGUAAACGCAAAUCAGCACGUUGCGUUGAAUACGUUCCCGGGCCUUGUACACACCGCCCGUCACACCAUGAGAGUUAGAAACGCCCAAAGCCGAUGUGCCAACCGUAAGGAGGUAGUCGUCUAAGGUGGAGCUAGCGAUUGGGGUG